Pelobates cultripes (western spadefoot toad) is the source of this 312-nucleotide non-coding RNA. NCBI's taxonomy places the organism in Eukaryota, Metazoa, Chordata, Amphibia, Anura, Pelobatidae. The record is from the annotation of a GenBank genome assembly.
GUUCUCUUUUAAGUCUUGAUCCCCAUUUAAUCAGGAUUCCUCUAAUGACUCCCUUAUGUGCCUCCCAUACCCAAGGGACUGUAGUGUCAGGUUUAGUAUUCUCUUCGAAGUACAUAUUCAAUGUUGUGUGGAGAUCUUCCACUACUUGAGGGUCAUCUAGGAGAGUCUCAUUCAGGCGCCAGUUGGUAUUGUGUCUAGCUUCACCUUGUGUGUUUUAGUCAGGAAUAUAGGGGCGUGGUCAGUCCAGGUGAUAUUACCCAUGGAUGCUUCAUUUACCAAAUUAAGGUGUCUAUGGUCUAGGAGGAACAUACC